RNAcentral lists this unclassified non-coding RNA (337 nucleotides) under soil metagenome. RNAcentral describes it as "partial contains 5.8S ribosomal RNA, internal transcribed spacer 2, and large subunit ribosomal RNA". The stretch from base 1 to 120 matches the Rfam family "5.8S ribosomal RNA", at positions 35 to 154 of the family's 154-position model. The record is from RNAcentral.
GAUGAAGAACGCAGCGAAAUGCGAUACUUGGUGUGAAUUGCAGAAUUCAGUGAAUCAUCGAAUCUUUGAACGCACAUUGCGCCCCUUGGUAUUCCGAGGGGCAUGCCUGUUCGAGCGUCAUUACACCACUCAAGCUAUGCUUGGUAUUGGGCGUCGUCCUUAGUUGGGCGCGCCUUAAAGACCUCGGCGAGGCCACUCCGGCUUUAGGCGUAGUAGAAUUUAUUCGAACGUCUGUCAAAGGAGAGGAACUCUGCCGACUGAAACCUUUAUUUUUCUAGGUUGACCUCGGAUCAGGUAGGGAUACCCGCUGAACUUAAGCAUAUCAAUAAGCGGAGGA